UGGUAGGGGAGGGAGUUGAACCCGCAUAAUCAGAUUAUGAGUCUGAGAACUUACCGUUAGUUGACCCUACA
This 71-nucleotide transfer RNA is filed under the name Trachythela sp. YZ-2021. Its description in RNAcentral is "tRNA-Met". Lineage: Eukaryota; Metazoa; Cnidaria; Anthozoa; Malacalcyonacea; Clavulariidae. The record is from RNAcentral.